GACGAACGCUGGCGGCGUGCCUAAUACAUGCAAGUAGAACGCUGAAGAGAGGAGCUUGCUCUUCUUGGAUGAGUUGCGAACGGGUGAGUAACGCGUAGGUAACCUGCCUUGUAGCGGGGGAUAACUAUUGGAAACGAUAGCUAAUACCGCAUAACAAUGGAUGACACAUGUCAUUUAAUUGAAAGGGGCAAUUGCUCCACUACAAGAUGGACCUGCGUUGUAUUAGCUAGUAGGUGAGGUAAUGGCUCACCUAGGCGACGAUACAUAGCCGACCUGAGAGGGUGAUCGGCCACACUGGGACUGAGACACGGCCCAGACUCCUACGGGAGGCAGCAGUAGGGAAUCUUCGGCAAUGGGGGCAACCCUGACCGAGCAACGCCGCGUGAGGGAAGAAGGUUGUCGGAUCGUAAAGCUCUGUUGUAAGUCAAGAACGGGUGUGAGAGUGGAAAGUUCACACUGUGACGGUAGCUUACCAGAAAGGGACGGCUAACUACGUG
This 497-nucleotide ribosomal RNA is filed under the name uncultured bacterium. RNAcentral's name for it is "partial 16S ribosomal RNA". It matches the Rfam family "Bacterial small subunit ribosomal RNA", at positions 28 to 507 of the family's 1533-position model. The record is from RNAcentral.